Molecule: long non-coding RNA, 1561 nt
Organism: Homarus americanus (American lobster)
Lineage: Eukaryota; Metazoa; Arthropoda; Malacostraca; Decapoda; Nephropidae
Exons: 3
Source: RefSeq, a predicted model, not a curated record
UAGAGGCAUUAUGGUAGGUGACGCUUAUAGGUAAUAUUUUGACUAGGGAUUGAAUAAUAAUUUUCCUUCUACUUAGGACAUAAACCUUGUACUGCUAAUUGAGCCAAUUUGAUAUAAAGUCAAGUGAUAUAUUUAACAAAUGACUUAAAGUGAAUGGAUUAUAUGGUUUGUUGAGUAUCUGAAACCCAAGGAUUCAGUCUUGGUUAGGAUUUCAUGCAUUGAUCCUUUGAGGACAAUGAUAUAACCCUUUGAAAAUAAUGGUUUACCCCUUUGAGGUCGACGGUCUAAGCCAUCGUCCUCAGAGGGUUGAGUGACCAGCAAAGAUUACCCACAUAAGAGUUCUGACAACGAACUCUUGGUACACUAGAUUAGUUAACGAAGUAUGACACUGAGGGAGGCUUGGUGUUGGGGGAAUUAAAGAAAAUUGUUCCUCUUGUAUAGUACUUUUUCCUCCCCUCGCAGUGUGUGUGUGUGUGUGUGUGUGUGUGUGUGUGUGUGUGUACGUGUGUCUUGCAUCAGCCGUGUUACUCUCACUCUCCCCCGCCCUUCACCACACCCGGCGCCCGCACCUUCCCCUGACACCCUUUUUCAUGUUUCGUAAUCAAUAAUUUCGUCCUACGUAGGUUUAUAUUAAAUCAAUAAGGUCUUACUUCAUUUAUAAAUCUAUUCUUUUCACUCGUGUAAGCCUCUACCUGCUAUAGCACAUGGUUGGACGGGCAGGUCUUGAUCUCCCGAAUCUUUGCAUUCAACGGCUUGUGGGUUACUCCGGCCUCUUGGUAGGAUGCUGGUUCACCGCAGGGUUGUUCCACCAUAGACGAGUACAACCGAUAGUACAACCAUUGACGGUUUCACUACUGUAUACGAGGAUAGGGAACAAGAAGAAAACCCAAUCCUUAUUCCGAUCAAUAAUCGAACUCGAUUCCUUUGACUUGUGAGGCGAGCAUUCUACCAUUAAGCACGAAUAUGAUUUGUUUACCAUAUUUUCGUUAAAUUUUCUUACUUUUUCUGGACUUCUACACUAUGUCAAGAUAAAAACUGGUCUUUCUCUUAUUCUGUAUAAACUUAGUAUUACGGAAACAUUCCCCUGUACGAAAGUUUCACCAAGUGCGUCAUUCACCAGCAGAGAGAAGUAAGAAGCAGCCGAGAAACUGAUCUGACGAAAGAGAACCUCCCGCCAAGACCAGCAACAAGCAGUAAUCCUUAACAAGGAUGACGUCAGGGGGAGGGUGGCGGCGAGUGGCAGUGGCGGCGGUGGUGAUGUGUCUGAUGGCGGCGGCGACGACGGCUGACCAAGAGGAGCCUGAAGGAGUCACGACCGCAGAAUUCACCGAAAACGACCUGACACAGAACUUCACAGGCAGCGACGAUGAGGGAGACGCCUCUGGUGGUGGUGAGGGUGGAAGUGGAGUGAAUGACAGCCAGGCGACACCAACAAGUGCGACGAACGCAAACAACACGGAAGUAGGAGGAGCAGCAGAAGGAGGAGGAGGAGCAGCAGAAGGAGGAGGAGGAGAAGCAGAAGGAGAAGCAGUAGCAGCAGGAGGAGAAGGAAUAACAGAGG